GGGUUGAUUAUGGCUCAGAUUGAACGCUGGCGGGAUGCUUUUACACAUGCAAGUCGAACGGCAGCACGGACUUCGGUCUGGUGGCGAGUGGCGAACGGGUGAGUAAUGUCGGAACGUGCCUAGUAGCGGGGGAUAACUACGCGAGCGUAGCACAAUACCGCAUACCGCCCUUCGGGGAAAAGCAGGGGACCUUCGGGCCUCGCUUUUCUUCGGCGGCACAAAUAUCGGAUUAGCUAGUUGGUGGGGUAACGGCUCACCAAGGCGACGAUCCGUAGCUGGUUUGAGAGGACGACCAGCCACACUGGGACUGAGACACAGCCCAGACUCCACGAGAGGGCAACGGUGGGGAAUUUUGGACAAUGGGGAAGCCCUGAUCCAGCCAUCCCGCGCGUGCGAUGAAGGCCUUCGGGUUGUAAAGCACUUUUGGCAGGAAAGAAACGGCUGGGAUAAUACCCCGUGCAACUGACGAACACCUGCAGAAUAAGCACCGGCUAACUUCGUGUAGCAUGCGGUAAGCCGUGGUGCAAAGCGUUAAUCGAUUACUGGGCGUAAAGCGUGCGCAGGCGGUUCCGGAAAGAAAGAUGUGAAAUCCCGAGCAACUUUGGAACUACAUUUUUAACUACCGAGCUAGAGUGUGUCAGAGAGUGCGUUCCGCGAUGUAGCAGUGAAAUGCGUAGAUAUGCGGAAGACACGAGUAAGCGAAGAAGCCAGCCUCCUGAGAUAACACUGGCCCGCUCAUGCAACGUGGGGAGCAAACGGGAUUAGAUACCCUGGUAGUCCACGCCCUAAACGAUGUCAACUAGCUGUUGGGGCCUUCGGGCCUUGGUGGCGCAGCUAACGUGAAGUUGACCGCCUGGGGAGUCCCGGUCGCAGAAUUCCAAAACUCAAGGAGUUGACAGGACCACCCUGGCGGUGGACAAGUGUGGAUGCGCAUUGAUCAACGCGAAAAACCUUACCUACCCUUGACAUGUCUGGAAUCCCGAAGAGAUUUGGGAGUGCUCGCGAGAACGGAACACAGGUGCUGCAUGGCUGUCGUCAGCUCGUGUCGUGAGAUGUUGGGUUAAGUCCGCAACGAGCGCAGCCUGCAUAUUGAUUUUCCCAAAGAGGCACUCAUCAGACCGGUGACAAACCGGAGGAGAAGAGGUGGGAUGACGUCGAAAUCCUCCUUCCCUUCUCGGUGGAGCUACGUCAUGCAAUGGUCGGGACAGAGGUCGCCAACCCGCGAGAGACCAAUCCAGAAACCCGAUCAUAGUCCGGAUCGCAGUCUGCAACUCGACUGCGUGAAGUCGAAUCGCUAGUAAUCGCGUAUCAGCAUGUCGCGGUGGACCGUUCCACAAGGUCUGUAUACCACCGCCCGUCACACCAUGGAGUGGGUUUACCAGAAGUAGUUAACCUAACCGUAAGGAGGGCGAUUUUCCGGUAGGAUUCAUGACUGGGGUGAAGUCGUAAUGAGUAG
RNAcentral lists this ribosomal RNA (1456 nucleotides) under uncultured Bordetella sp. RNAcentral describes it as "partial 16S-23S ribosomal RNA intergenic spacer". It matches the Rfam family "Bacterial small subunit ribosomal RNA". The record is from RNAcentral. Lineage: Bacteria; Pseudomonadati; Pseudomonadota; Betaproteobacteria; Burkholderiales; Alcaligenaceae.